Molecule: ribosomal RNA, 399 nt
Filed under: uncultured bacterium
Lineage: Bacteria
Description: bacterial SSU rRNA
Rfam family: Bacterial small subunit ribosomal RNA
Source: RNAcentral
AUCUUGCGCAAUGGGGGAAACCCUGACGCAGCGACGCCGCGUGGGUGAGGAAGUCCUUCGGGAUGUAAAGCCCUUUUGUUGGGGACGAGAGUGGACGGUACCCAACGAAUAAGCCCCGGCUAACUACGUGCCAGCAGCCGCGGUAAUACGUAGGGGGCAAGCGUUGUCCGGAUUUACUGGGCGUAAAGUGCGCGUAGGCGUAACGUUAUGUCUGGCCUGAAAGCCCCCGGCUCAACCGGGGAGGGUGGCUGGAAACUGGCGUUCUUGAGGGCGUUAGAGGAGAGUGGAAUUCCUGGUGUAGCGGUGAAAUGCGUAGAUAUCAGGAGGAACACCGAUGGCGAAGGCAGCUCUCUGGAGCGGCCCUGACGCUGAGGCGCGAAAGCGUGGGGAGCGAACGGG